Ribosomal RNA from Bison bison bison, 120 nucleotides. Lineage: Eukaryota; Metazoa; Chordata; Mammalia; Artiodactyla; Bovidae. The record is from Ensembl.
CUCUCAGGCCGUAUCAGCCUGAAGGCGCCCGAUCUCUUCUGAUCUCGGAAGCUAAGCAGGGUCGGGCCUGGUUAGGAUCUUGGAUGGGAGACCACCUGGGAAUCCCGAGUGCUCGAGGCU